Molecule: long non-coding RNA, 843 nt
Organism: Ostrea edulis (European flat oyster)
Lineage: Eukaryota; Metazoa; Mollusca; Bivalvia; Ostreida; Ostreidae
Exons: 3
Source: RefSeq, a predicted model, not a curated record
UUGAAAGGGAAAAUGGGCGGUUAUGUUUUGGUACGGAUGGUUGAUUUUAAUGGUGAUCGGUUAUUUUUAAAAAUAGUAUUAAGUACGCUUGGGUGAAUGGGUUUAUUCAAGCUUAAGUUUUCAGUGAAUGUGCCAUUUGAAGGCUCUGAUUUGUUAAUCAUUUCACGGACUUAAAAGUCAUCAUGAAAACAGAAAACAGAUUCAAAAAAGAUAAACGUGUGAGGCAGUUGAUCAGAUGGUACCUACCAGUCCAUACAUCAUUUCAUACAUGACAGCACCAAGGCACCACCAGUCUACUGUUUUAUCAUACGGCUGCUUCCUCAACACUUCAGGGGCCAGGGUGUUAACCUGUAAAGAUUGAUGCCAAUAAAACAAUGGGGAGAAACAUGGAGAUCAAAACUUGACAGGAUAUGGUACAGCAUGUACACAAAGUGACACCCUGACCAGGAGCAAAUGAGGGAUGUGCUUAUCAACCACAAACAGAUGUUUGGAAGGAAUUUUAUUCGAUAUUGAUUAGAAAAUGAGCAUAUUUUAUGUCAUUAUCAAUGCUAAUAAAUGUUGUUAGAUUAGAAUGUCAAAAAAAGUACAUAUAUGACACAUAAUUAAAAUUUUUAAGGUUCCGUAAUCAUGUUGAUUUUAUGGAAAUAUGAGAAUUAAUGAGUGCAUGUUUAUGAAGUUUUGUGCUUGAUCCUUAUCAAAGGUGCAUGCCAACAAGUUUAAUUACAUGAUAUUUUUCUAAUUAAUUAUUUAUUUGAUUGGAAUUAUUUUACUUCAUUACUCUGUUGAUUAAUUGUGAAAUUGACAUUGAAAAUAAUAAUGUAAAUACAAUAAAUGCAAAUCUAU